AAGAGUUUAGAUUAGGUCUCUAUGCCAAAUCAGCCCAAUUCUUAGAUUAUUUGUCAGGAGGAUCAUCUUACCAUUUGAUCCCUAGUGAACGGAGGUUAGUACUAGAUAAAAUCUUAGAAAAAACUCCCCACACUAGUAUCUACGAUGAAUCACUGGAUGAAGUAUCCAACGGGCCCAUAAAGGAGACAAUCAUGGCAGAGGAGAUGAUGUGUUCAGAAUCAAAAUAUAUCGACCUUCUAUCAUCACCUAUCUCCAACAUGCUCUCCCAACCUAUUCCCGAACCAUCAUCAUCAUAUACCUUAGACGCUAAAUCCUUUGAGGAAGAUCUUC
RNAcentral lists this long non-coding RNA (330 nucleotides) under Setaria viridis. RNAcentral's name for it is "long non-coding RNA (SVIR_LNC000496)". The record is from RNAcentral. Lineage: Eukaryota; Viridiplantae; Streptophyta; Magnoliopsida; Poales; Poaceae.